GGGUUGUGAGGUUAAGCGACUAAGCGUACACGGUGGAUGCCCUGGCAGUCAGAGGCGAUGAAGGACGUGCUAAUCUGCGAUAAGCGUCGGUGAGGUGAUAUGAACCGUUAUAACCGGCGAUUUCCGAAUGGGGAAACCCAGUGUGUUUCGACACACUAUCAUUAACUGAAUCCAUAGGUUAAUGAGGCGAACCGGGGGAACUGAAACAUCUAAGUACCCCGAGGAAAAGAAAUCAACCGAGAUUCCCCCAGUAGCGGCGAGCGAACGGGGAGCAGCCCAGAGCCUGAAUCAGUGUGUGUGUUAGUGGAAGCGUCUGGAAAGGCGUGCGAUACAGGGUGACAGCCCCGUACACAAAAAUGCACAUACUGUGAGCUCGAUGAGUAGGGCGGGACACGUGGUAUCCUGUCUGAAUAUGGGGGGACCAUCCUCCAAGGCUAAAUACUCCUGACUGACCGAUAGUGAACCAGUACCGUGAGGGAAAGGCGAAAAGAACCCCGGCGAGGGGAGUGAAAAAGAACCUGAAACCGUGUACGUACAAGCAGUGGGAGCCUCUUAAUGGGGUGACUGCGUACCUUUUGUAUAAUGGGUCAGCGACUUAUAUUCUGUAGCAAGGUUAACCGAAUAGGGGAGCCGAAGGGAAACCGAGUCUUAACUGGGCGUUAAGUUGCAGGGUAUAGACCCGAAACCCGGUGAUCUAGCCAUGGGCAGGUUGAAGGUUGGGUAACACUAACUGGAGGACCGAACCGACUAAUGUUGAAAAAUUAGCGGAUGACUUGUGGCUGGGGGUGAAAGGCCAAUCAAACCGGGAGAUAGCUGGUUCUCCCCGAAAGCUAUUUAGGUAGCGCCUCGUGAAUUCAUCUCCGGGGGUAGAGCACUGUUUCGGCAAGGGGGUCAUCCCGACUUACCAACCCGAUGCAAACUGCGAAUACCGGAGAAUGUUAUCACGGGAGACACACGGCGGGUGCUAACGUCCGUCGUGAAGAGGGAAACAACCCAGACCGCCAGCUAAGGUCCCAAAGUCAUGGUUAAGUGGGAAACGAUGUGGGAAGGCCCAGACAGCCAGGAUGUUGGCUUAGAAGCAGCCAUCAUUUAAAGAAAGCGUAAUAGCUCACUGGUCGAGUCGGCCUGCGCGGAAGAUGUAACGGGGCUAAACCAUGCACCGAAGCUGCGGCAGCGACACUAUGUGUUGUUGGGUAGGGGAGCGUUCUGUAAGCCUGCGAAGGUGUACUGUGAGGUAUGCUGGAGGUAUCAGAAGUGCGAAUGCUGACAUAAGUAACGAUAAAGCGGGUGAAAAGCCCGCUCGCCGGAAGACCAAGGGUUCCUGUCCAACGUUAAUCGGGGCAGGGUGAGUCGACCCCUAAGGCGAGGCCGAAAGGCGUAGUCGAUGGGAAACAGGUUAAUAUUCCUGUACUUGGUGUUACUGCGAAGGGGGGACGGAGAAGGCUAUGUUGGCCGGGCGACGGUUGUCCCGGUUUAAGCGUGUAGGCUGGUUUUCCAGGCAAAUCCGGAAAAUCAAGGCUGAGGCGUGAUGACGAGGCACUACGGUGCUGAAGCAACAAAUGCCCUGCUUCCAGGAAAAGCCUCUAAGCAUCAGGUAACAUCAAAUCGUACCCCAAACCGACACAGGUGGUCAGGUAGAGAAUACCAAGGCGCUUGAGAGAACUCGGGUGAAGGAACUAGGCAAAAUGGUGCCGUAACUUCGGGAGAAGGCACGCUGAUAUGUAGGUGAAGUCCCUCGCGGAUGGAGCUGAAAUCAGUCGAAGAUACCAGCUGGCUGCAACUGUUUAUUAAAAACACAGCACUGUGCAAACACGAAAGUGGACGUAUACGGUGUGACGCCUGCCCGGUGCCGGAAGGUUAAUUGAUGGGGUUAGCGGUAACGCGAAGCUCUUGAUCGAAGCCCCGGUAAACGGCGGCCGUAACUAUAACGGUCCUAAGGUAGCGAAAUUCCUUGUCGGGUAAGUUCCGACCUGCACGAAUGGCGUAAUGAUGGCCAGGCUGUCUCCACCCGAGACUCAGUGAAAUUGAACUCGCUGUGAAGAUGCAGUGUACCCGCGGCAAGACGGAAAGACCCCGUGAACCUUUACUAUAGCUUGACACUGAACAUUGAGCCUUGAUGUGUAGGAUAGGUGGGAGGCUUUGAAGUGUGGACGCCAGUCUGCAUGGAGCCGGCCUUGAAAUACCACCCUUUAAUGUUUGAUGUUCUAACGUUGGCCCCUGAUCGGGGUUGCGGACAGUGUCUGGUGGGUAGUUUGACUGGGGCGGUCUCCUCCUAAAGAGUAACGGAGGAGCACGAAGGUUGGCUAAUCCUGGUCGGACAUCAGGAGGUUAGUGCAAUGGCAUAAGCCAGCUUGACUGCGAGCGUGACGGCGCGAGCAGGUGCGAAAGCAGGUCAUAGUGAUCCGGUGGUUCUGAAUGGAAGGGCCAUCGCUCAACGGAUAAAAGGUACUCCGGGGAUAACAGGCUGAUACCGCCCAAGAGUUCAUAUCGACGGCGGUGUUUGGCACCUCGAUGUCGGCUCAUCACAUCCUGGGGCUGAAGUAGGUCCCAAGGGUAUGGCUGUUCGCCAUUUAAAGUGGUACGCGAGCUGGGUUUAGAACGUCGUGAGACAGUUCGGUCCCUAUCUGCCGUGGGCGCUGGAGAACUGAGGGGGGCUGCUCCUAGUACGAGAGGACCGGAGUGGACGCAUCACUGGUGUUCGGGUUGUCAUGCCAAUGGCACUGCCCGGUAGCUAAAUGCGGAAGAGAUAAGUGCUGAAAGCAUCUAAGCACGAAACUUGCCCCGAGAUGAGUUCUCCCUGACUCUUUAAGGGUCCUGAAGGAACGUUGAAGACGACGACGUUGAUAGGCCGGGUGUGUAAGCGCAGCGAUGCGUUGAGCUAACCGGUACUAAUGAACCGUGAGGCUUAACCUUACAACGCCGAAG
RNAcentral lists this ribosomal RNA (2925 nucleotides) under Escherichia coli. Its description in RNAcentral is "bacterial LSU rRNA". It matches the Rfam family "Bacterial large subunit ribosomal RNA". The record is from RNAcentral. Lineage: Bacteria; Pseudomonadati; Pseudomonadota; Gammaproteobacteria; Enterobacterales; Enterobacteriaceae.